GACGAACGCUUGCGGCGUGCCUAAUACAUGCAAGUAGAACGCUGAAGAGAGGAGCUUGCUCUUCUUGGAUGAGUUGCGAACGGGUGAGUAACGCGUAGGUAACCUGCCUUGUAGCGGGGGAUAACUAUUGGAAACGAUAGCUAAUACCGCAUAACAAUGGAUGACACAUGUCAUUUAUUUGAAAGGGGCAAUUGCUCCACUACAAGAUGGACCUGCGUUGUAUUAGCUAGUAGGUGAGGUAAUGGCUCACCUAGGCGACGAUACAUAGCCGACCUGAGAGGGAGAUCGGCCAACCUGGGACUGAGACACGGCCCAGACUCCUACGGGAGGCAGCAGUAGGGAAUCUUCGGCAAUGGGGGCAACCCUGACCGAGCAACGCCGCGUGAGUGAAGAAGGUUUUCGGAUCGUAAAGCUCUGUUGUAAGUCAAGAACGGGUGUGAGAGUGGAAAGUUCACACUGUGACGGUAGCUUACCAGAAAGGGACGGCUAACUACGUG
Molecule: ribosomal RNA, 497 nt
Filed under: uncultured bacterium
Lineage: Bacteria
Description: partial 16S ribosomal RNA
Rfam family: Bacterial small subunit ribosomal RNA
Source: RNAcentral